UCAAUAACAGUUGGUGGUAUAGCCACUGGCUCAGAUAGUUUUGUACUAGCUACUUCCUUUCUAGGGUCACUGCUUGAGUAAGUCUAAAACACCAUUGCUAAACAGGUGAUAACAUCAUGUUGCUAUUGAACAUUGUUCUUAACAUCAAGUAUUUAUGAUGUUAAAACUUGUGCUUUAUUUAGGAAAUCUUAUGAGGAAGGAGUUUUAGUAACAAUGGAAGAAGAAUUGGAGUAAUUUUCAGAAAAUAUUUUAAGAAAACUGAAAACUAAAAUUUAGAAAACAGUUUUAAGUUAUUUUUCAUUGUUUUCUUUUAUAACAAAAGAUGUAUUUUCCAUUGUUUCUAAUGAAUGCAAAAUAAUAUUUUCUAUCAUCAAAAC
RNAcentral lists this unclassified non-coding RNA (377 nucleotides) under Hevea brasiliensis (rubber tree). The record is from RNAcentral. Lineage: Eukaryota; Viridiplantae; Streptophyta; Magnoliopsida; Malpighiales; Euphorbiaceae.